CACUGCAUUGCUUAUCACUGCGCAGGCUCAGUAUGUUCCCGCGUGGCCACGGUCUAGAGCAUGCGCAGUGGGAGCGACCCUGGGAAGUCGCUGUUCUUUUCGGCUCCACAAAAGCAUCUCAGAAGAGGAUUUGCAGAUCGGAAACACAAACCAAAUGAUCUAAGCAUGCCUUUUUGUUCAUUCAGCACUGAAUAUUAUCGGCCUUUAAAGGUAAGUAUUGAGUAAAAUAAAAGUAGCAUAAAAUUC
Long non-coding RNA from Rhincodon typus (whale shark), 246 nucleotides. RefSeq lists it as uncharacterized. NCBI's taxonomy places the organism in Eukaryota, Metazoa, Chordata, Chondrichthyes, Orectolobiformes, Rhincodontidae. The transcript is spliced from 2 exons. The record is from RefSeq and is a predicted model, not a curated record.